This 301-nucleotide ribosomal RNA is filed under the name uncultured bacterium. Its description in RNAcentral is "partial 16S ribosomal RNA". It matches the Rfam family "Bacterial small subunit ribosomal RNA", at positions 509 to 809 of the family's 1533-position model. The record is from RNAcentral.
CAGCCGCCGCGGUAAUACGUAGGUGGCAAGCGUUGUCCGGAUUUAUUGGGCGUAAAGCGAGCGCAGGCGGUCAAUUAAGUCUGAUGUGAAAGCCCCCGGCUCAACCGGGGAGGGUCAUUGGAAACUGGUUGACUUGAGUGCAGAAGAGGAGAGUGGAAUUCCAUGUGUAGCGGUGAAAUGCGUAGAUAUAUGGAGGAACACCAGUGGCGAAGGCGACUCUCUGGUCUGUAACUGACGCUGAGGCUCGAAAGCGUGGGUAGCAAACAGGAUUAGAUACCCGCGUAGUCCCUGUCUCUUAUAA